Molecule: long non-coding RNA, 984 nt
Organism: Orcinus orca (killer whale)
Lineage: Eukaryota; Metazoa; Chordata; Mammalia; Artiodactyla; Delphinidae
Exons: 3
Source: RefSeq, a predicted model, not a curated record
CACAUCUGCAGAUGAAUAAAAACACUUUUAAAAGUGGCCUCAGAAAGCUGUGUUCAUCACGUACACCCUGCAGGCACGGCGGAAAGAUCCCUACCGCGAAACUGACCCUUCAGCUCCUGACAAAAGCUGGGAGACACCGUUAGGCGGGCAGCCAGCCCCUCCUGCACUGAGACGCUGAUGGCUUGGCCCUUCCCCACUCCAGUGGAGACUGUCCCAUUAGAACUCAUUCUUCAAGUGAACCCAAGAGGAACGAAGUUAUUACGUACACGUAGUUUCUAGAGAACAGAAAACGAGGAUCCGGGGAUCAGAAAUAAAAGGACACACAAGGAUGUGAACGCCCACCAGGUACGAACACGUUUCAGAUACGGACUUGAGAGUCUCUGAUAUACUUUCUUCCCAUCCCAAGGAGGAGCUGGCGCCGUAUCUGGACACCCUGCUCAAUUCAGCAUCAACCUCUCGCUUAUAACUGUGAAGCCUUUUUUCUUGAAGCCAUUUUUGUUGUCUCUCUUUUGUUAAAAAGAGAGAAACUUAAAGAUAUUCUCCAGCAUAUUAGAGAUUUGGGGGGAAGACUUCAUAUUAAGCCAAGUCAUAAGUGAUUAAGUCUGUGCUAGUAGAGAGCUACACAUAGCCACAGGUGACAGAGAGCUACACAGAGCCGCAGGUGAUAGAGAGCUACACAGAGCCGCAGGUGACAGAGAGCUACACAGAGCCGCAGGUGAUAGAGAGCUACACAGAGCCGCAGGUGACAGAGAGCUACACAGAGCCGCAGGUGAUCACCGAUUACUUUCAAAGGCAGCUCCCAUCCACCGUAAGAAGAUUUAAACCAUUUAAACCAUAGAGAAAACAAGUGAAACAGAUUCACAGAUUUCAUUUCCAACGCCCUUUUCUGGAUAAAGUAUAGAAUAUAUAGAUGUUGGCUUCUGCCUUUUCUCAUGAUUCACAUCAACUCGAUCACGACUCAACCAUCCUUCACACGGGCCGCGU